This is a non-coding RNA of Arachis ipaensis, 275 nucleotides long. The record is from RefSeq and is a predicted model, not a curated record. Lineage: Eukaryota; Viridiplantae; Streptophyta; Magnoliopsida; Fabales; Fabaceae.
AUGUUAUUAUGGUUUGGGAAACUGUUCACUUUCUCUUAUCUCUCCGAAAAUUGAAUCCCUUGAGGUACAAGGCUGUAGUUGGAUCAGGGUCCCUGAAACCGGGCAUUUGAAGAAGCUUUCAAUUUCCAACAGUUCGGGGAGGGUAUACAUGAUAGAUUUCGGAAACCUCAAUGUUCUGGAGUUCCUGUCGAUGCGAGGAGUCCAGUGGUGCUGUGAUGCAAUAUGUAAAAUGCUGAAAUUGGCAAGUGAGGUGAAGCAUCUUUUUAUGAAGGUUG